CAGUAGCCACGGUAAAACGAAGGGGGCUAGCGUUGUUCGGAUUUACUGGGCGUAAAGGGCGCGUAGGCGGGCGAAUAAGUCAGGGGUGAAAUCCCAAGGCUCAACCUUGGAACUGCCUUUGAUACUGUUUGUCUUGAGUCCGGGAGAGGUGAGUGGAACUGCGAGUGUAGAGGUGAAAUUCGUAGAUAUUCGCAAGAACACCAGUGGCGAAGGCGGCUCACUGGCCCGGAACUGACGCUGAGGCGCGAAAGCGUGGGGAGCAAAUGGGAUUAGAUACCCCUGUAGUCCCUGUCUCUUAUAC
Molecule: ribosomal RNA, 301 nt
Filed under: uncultured bacterium
Lineage: Bacteria
Description: partial 16S ribosomal RNA
Rfam family: Bacterial small subunit ribosomal RNA
Source: RNAcentral